This 331-nucleotide long non-coding RNA is filed under the name Salmo salar (Atlantic salmon). RNAcentral describes it as "lncRNA (ENSSSAG00000088990.1)". Lineage: Eukaryota; Metazoa; Chordata; Actinopteri; Salmoniformes; Salmonidae. The record is from RNAcentral.
UGAAAGGCCAAGGCAGGACACAGAGGAAGAGCCAGGAUGGCCAACAACAGUCUGCUUUCAUUAAGAACAGUAGAGCACCCAAACAGAGUCGGCUCUGGUGGGUCACAUUGUGUUGGGAGAAGGUUCAAAGACAUGUUAUUGAUAACAAUAAAAAGUUGUCUCUGUGCAGUGUUGAUAAAUGGAGGUAAAAGUCCUAGAGCCAGAGCAGCUCUGACUAACAGAUGGCAGAAUAUUGACGUCCUGGUGUCGCGUAUUGCAGCCACGACACAGGCCAAUGCGGACCACAGGACCUGAGCCCUAGGACCAUGCCUCAGGACUACCUGGUAUGAUG